This 424-nucleotide ribosomal RNA is filed under the name uncultured bacterium. RNAcentral describes it as "bacterial SSU rRNA". It matches the Rfam family "Bacterial small subunit ribosomal RNA", at positions 357 to 772 of the family's 1533-position model. The record is from RNAcentral.
AGGAAUCUUGCGCAAUGGGCGAAAGCCUGACGCAGCGACGCCGCGUGAGGGAUGAAGGCCUUCGGGCUGUAAACCUCUGUCAGGAGGGAAGAACCCGGGAUCGGUGAACAGCCGCUCCCGCUGACGGUACCUCCAGAGGAAGCACCGGCUAACUACGUGCCAGCAGCCGCGGUAAUACGUAGGGACCAAGCGUUGUUCGGAUUUACUGGGCGUAAAGGGCGCGUAGGCGGCAUGUUAAGUCAGCUGUGAAAUCUCCGAGCUUAACUCGGAACGGUCAGCUGAUACUGAUGUGCUAGAGUGCAGAAGGGGCAAUCGGAAUUCUUGGUGUAGCGGUGAAAUGCGUAGAUAUCAAGAGGAACACCUGAGGUGAAGACGGGUUGCUGGGCUGACACUGACGCUGAGGCGCGAAAGCCAGGGGAGCAAA